Oncorhynchus keta (chum salmon) is the source of this 269-nucleotide long non-coding RNA. RefSeq lists it as uncharacterized. NCBI's taxonomy places the organism in Eukaryota, Metazoa, Chordata, Actinopteri, Salmoniformes, Salmonidae. The record is from RefSeq and is a predicted model, not a curated record. The transcript has 3 exons.
CACAGAAGAAAGGUGAAACGGUGUACACCACAGAAGAAAGGUGAAACGGUGUACACCACAGAAGAAAGGUGAAACGGUGUACACCACAGAAGAAAGGUGAAACGGUGUACACCACAGAAGAAAGGUGAAACGGUGUACACCACAGAAGAAAGGUGAAACGGUGUACACCACAGAAGAAAGGUGAAACGGUGUACACCACAGAAGAAAGGUGAAACGGUGUACACCAGAGAAGAAAGGUGAAACGGUGUACACCACAGAAGAAAGGUGAA